UCCGGGGUGGCGGAACAGGCAGACGCACUAGGCAGUUUACCUAGGGUUCUAUGAACGUGGUGGUUCGAUCCCACCCCCCGGAGCCA
This 86-nucleotide transfer RNA is filed under the name Acidobacteriota bacterium. RNAcentral's name for it is "Acidobacteria bacterium tRNA-Asn". Lineage: Bacteria; Pseudomonadati; Acidobacteriota. The record is from RNAcentral.